RNAcentral lists this long non-coding RNA (7979 nucleotides) under Sorghum bicolor (sorghum). RNAcentral describes it as "long non-coding RNA (SBIC_LNC017363)". The record is from RNAcentral. Lineage: Eukaryota; Viridiplantae; Streptophyta; Magnoliopsida; Poales; Poaceae.
AGAGAUAGAUAAAUAGACCGGCACGAAGGCACGACACAGGCAUGGAUAUAGAUAAAGAUAGAUCGUGUAUUAAACAAGAUAGGAGACGUAUGAACAUGUACAACUGAUAGAUAACGAAAUGAUGUAUGAACAGAUAUGAAUUAGCAUGGAGUUCCGUCCACGUCAACUAGGGUUUAGGGGGUUUCAACCCUGCCGAUCGCGAGGAAGGUAGCGGAGGCCUGCUGCUGUACAGAUGGUGACCGAGGCGAUGCGGAAGAUCACAGCGGCCGACGUUAUCAUGGUCGGCCAGGGUAGAGCUGGUCAUGGCAAUGGUGCCCCCAAGUCAUGAUCGGCGAAAAGGGGCUCCGACGAGUGGCACAAACUGGCUGCAGCAUCCCUGCACAGUGAGGUUCACGGCACGAAGGCCAGUCUCUGCGAGGCGAACGCAAGAAGGGGAAAACUUUGGUCUUGGCGAGGCUCACCGGUGCUGACGGCGCCACGGGCUUGGCGAGAUCGACGCGGCAAGGUCGUGGUUGUCACUACCGGUGCGGCGUCCGCGCGCGACGUCGGGGUUCGGGGCAGAGGUGCUUGACGCGGUGGCGAAUGCGCGCUCCCGGCCACGGCGGAGUCCGUGCGUGUCGAGACGGGCGCUCGGGCUUGGCACAGUCGACCUCGCGAUGAGGUGAUCGUGGACAGCACGACAUCAUGGACGACGUCGGGGUGGUCCUCUGCUCACGGUGCUGUGCUCGAAGGCGAGGACGGGGCUGUGGACGCCGCGUGCAGCACUGCGUCGGGGUCGCGGGCACGUUAAAGGCGAGGCCGACACGGCGUCGCGGUGGCUCAGCUCGACGGGCAUCAGCAGGGCGAGGCCGGUGGUGGUGCGGGCGCGGACGUCGUGGGCUCCUGGUUACCGUGGCGAGGACGUGGACGCGGUCGAAGCUCGGCGCGGCGGGCGGCUCCGAUGCGGCAUGGGAUGGAGCUCCGGGUCAUGGCCGAGGCGAGGGCGAGGCGUGUCGCGGCCACGGCAUGCGGACGACGGCGUCGCGGGGUCGGGGCUCGGCGCGGCGAGGGCGCAGAGCUCCUGCUCGACGGCGAGGGUCGCGGGGCGAUGGGGCACGAGCACGGCGCCGGGGUCGUGGGUGCGGCUCGGCGGUGGUCGUCGUGGUUGGCAAGGUUGUGUGCGCGGGCGACCGGCGAGGCCGGCACGGCGCCGUCGCGGCUCUAGUGCGGCGGCUGCGGAUGAGGGACAGGGAAAGGAUGGCGGCGGCUAACCAUUUUAUAGUGCGAGUAGCUAGGGCUAGGGAGAGCUCCGGCAAUCCUCGGCGUCCGUGUCGAAGACGGGACACGCGGCGCGAAUCACGGGCACGCACGCCAAGGGGAGAGGGCAGGCGCGCGUGCGGCUUGCGGCUUGCCAUCGGGGCGGCGGCGGCGGCUCUGGCUGGGAGCGCUGGCCGUGCGCUAGAGCUAGGGAGACAGGGCAGGCGCGGCUCUGGGCCUGGUGGGCCGCGCGGUGGAAAAGACCAGGGAGGGGCGCUGGGCUAGGAGCGUGAUGUGGCCCGCGGUGUCGCCUGCUGGGCCGAGGCAAGGAGGGGAUAGGGAGCAGGCCAGCUGGGCCACCGGAGAGAGGAGGCAAGGUCAGGUUGGGCCAGCAGGAAGAGAAAAGAAUGGAGAGAAAGAGAGAGAUUCGGCCCAAGAGAAUAGAAAAGGGGUUUUCCACUUCAUAAAAUGAUUGGGAGGGAGGGGAAAAGAGAUAGAGAUGAGUUACCACGAAUUUAAGAUAAUGGGAUUUUGAGAAGAGAAUUUCGACAAGAGCUCGGAAGAAUCAAAGGAGUUUGAGAUGUACUCCAACGAAAAGGUUGAGAAGGGAUUCGCUUAGCCUUUGAGAUAGGCUCAACGAAGACUUGGGAAUACUUGCUACGGAUUUGUGCACUCCAAAAGAAACUCAAAACCCUAUACAAGACCCAACUCAAGACGACUCACGAAUAGAAGCACUUGCCUACAAACAAAUCUAUAUGUAUGCCACGAUUUGUUCGCGGGUUAGGAUCGAGUUAGACCUAAAAACUAUAUGAUUCACACGAUUACAGGAAAAAUUUUAAAAAUCUCGUAUUUUUGGUUUACGUAAAAAUUUGGGAUGUUACAGUCCACCCACCUAACAGGAAUCUCGUCCGCGAGAUUUAGGCGUUGCUUGGCUGGCGAAGAAGCAAGGAUGCUAUUCCCGAAGUUCUUAUUUCUGAGUUGUUUCGCUUUUAGUAUGAUCACUCCACAGACCUUUUCCAAAAUUGGGAGUGAGUCAUGUUUUGGGUGUAUCCAAGGUUUAGUCGCUGGUGUUGGGUAUCCAAAUUCUUACACCGAGGUGAUGGGUAUCCAAGAAUUGCAUCAGGUUUAUGAACAUUUAUGAACAUCCGGCUCUCGAAGUUGAGACUAUUGUUAGUUGGCCUAGAUCAUCGUGCUCGAACCUUCCUGUUCGCUUGCUUGAUACUCUUCCAAGGAGUGACAUCCGGUCAACAAAGGGUAGGGCAGGCUCAAGUUAGCUAGGGUUGUUGGCUUUCACCAGCUGUUUUUCAUGCAUCACUCCUUGCAAAAAGCUUUUGAAAGGAAGGUUUUUCAGAAAAACAGGUUUCAUAAAUGGAGUGAAAGCAGGUUUUACAAGGUCAAAGGGGUUUUAAAGAGAGCUCAAACUGAAAAGAGCCUUUGGAAAGGGUUGAAAUCAACGCAAAUUUUGAAAACCAAAUUCAUUUAUUUUAUUAUUAUUAUUUUCUUUUUAUUAUUAUUAUUAUAUAUAUAUAUAUUUAAGAUUUUUGUUGUAAAAGAUUUCAAAUCAAGAGUCUUUGAAACUCUUUUAGUUUUCUAAAUGAGGUGUUGCUCUCUUUUAUUUGAAUUAUACAAACUAGUUUUGAAAAUGGUUAGAAAUCAUUUUUCUUUUUUUUUUAAGAUAGAGCUUUCGCAAACAAAACACUUUUGAAACUUGAAAGUUUUUUUUUUGCCAAAUUUUUUUUGAAAGGUUGCAAAACAGAAUCCUUUCACAAUGGUUUUGUUUAAUAAAUCACUGGCAUUUUUUUUCCUUUUAAGACAAGGUUGACUUUUGAAAGGAAUUUGGCUCUCGAGUUGGAAUCAAAGGCCUUUAAAACAAAACUGAGCCAAAGAUCUUUGGUUUGAAAACCACUUUGUUGGUUGAAGGUAAAACUUUUGACUUUCAGAAGAGGAUUGGUAACACCUUUUGAAAGAUAACUUGUUUUUAAAUCAUUUCAUAAACUGAGCUUGAAUAAAGUUGAGUUGAGAAAGGGGUUAAAAUUCCUUUCUUUGUGAAAAUGAAAGAUACUGAGAGAGUUUUGAAACACUUUUCCUUUUAAAACCAAGAUGUUUUUUGUAAAAGAGGGGACAUUUUCAAUCAAAAGGAGGGAAACUUUUUCAACCAAAUGGGGCAAUUUUGAAGCCAAGUUUAGUUGGAAGCCAAAAACAGUUUUAAAAUAGGCGGGCAACACAUGAUGCAAUAGCUUUACCUUACUUUUAACUUCGUUAUUCAGGGCCACCUAUCUUGUCUCGUGACGGUCUUAGGUUUAGUCGGCUAUGUUGGACAGAAUCCAGAGUCUUUCUCGCAUAAAACUUGUUCUAUGACCUACACUCAGACAACAAGAAGCCAAAGAAACACAACAACAUAAGAUCCAAGCACUCAAACAACAUUACAACUCCUAAUGCAUAGUGUUGACUUGAGGCGACUCACAGACCUUCAAAGUCUCACACGACUAUCGAUCUAGCGUGGGCGAUAAUGGGGAAAAGAUUCCAAUGGUCAACUUUAUGAAACAGGGUGGUCAGUUAGAAGCAGAAUUCAAGGCGGAGGGGGAAACAAGUGUUAGCAUCUAUAACUCUACAAAAGAUGGAAUGUUUGUCUUCUAAACUAGUGUUUGGUGCUAAGGGUCUCGUCCUAGGGUCAAGUAUGGCUCUGAUACCAACUGAAACGAUCUAGAUUUUUCCAAAAAGGGAAAAAUCCACAUAUUCAAAUUAUAAUAUGAUAAUUCAAAAAUUGAACCAUCUCAUUAUCAUAUAUCAGUCGUUAUCAUAGUCAUACAUCGUGAGAAACAAAAUUACAACACAUUUACUUUACAAAUCUUGGUCAACAAGCCUAUUACAUCGUUUUUCUAGCGGAAACACACACGGGUCUUUAUCAGAGUCGAUGUAGCGCGUCAGCGGUGAAGGCUCCUCCUUCACGGGCAAUCAUCAGAGUCGGCGUAGUUUAUCAACGGGCGUAGUCUUCAUCUUUGAACCAAACUUGAGCGUAGGAGCGAGACCACCUAAUCCUUCUAUUCUCCGUAGUUAUCGUCAUGGGCCACGUGCAAAACCUGCUAAACAAUUUUCAGUACGAUUUGUACUGGCCACUGGCUCCCACCCUAUGCUUUUGCGUAAGCUUUGUGGUAAGUGGAAUGCAAAGGGUAGAUCAAGAGGCCUAUAUAUAUGGCUGUAGUUUUUCCUAUGCAGGUUCAUCAAUAUUAUAAUAAUAAUUCAUCAGGUUUUAAUCCAUCUCAACCACACGUCCAUCCAUCCAUCACAUCACACACAUCUCACCACACUCUCACUCUCUAGGCGGCAAGUACGACUCCCGCUCAUGCCUUGCCUCAACGGCCAAUGCCGGAUCCAACACAAACCCAGGGGAAGGUAGAAGGGACUCCUCUCUCUAGUCAAGUGAAGUUGUACUUAGGAAAGGUCCAUAGCCGACGAAUCGGCAUAUGUAUCGAUCGAUCAACCAAAACUCUGCAGAGGUUUGCACUAACCACAAGGUCACCAUCAUUGACGAAGGCCCUCGUCUAGGCUGAUUCCGGGCUGCCUUCCAACUAAACACGAUGCCACCCUACCACUCAGAGCAGGGACUAUACCGGAGUACCACCGGUACGCUGAGACUAUGAGGCGUAGUACCGGGCCCCAAAGGUCACUACACUGUCUUAGGAGGGUGUGGGUCCUCAUGCCCGUACCUCCCUACACUAUCUGCUAACAACCUAGUAGUAGUGGCACCGCCCUAGCUGGUCGUACAUCCGUCUCCUCCCCAUAAGAGCGAGUGGGGUGCAAGGCUUCCUAAGACCCGGUCCACAGAACAUAUCAGUCCUUAGGGUGACCAAAUAGGACAUCUUCACAAGGGGCCAACCGAUACCCCGCUCGACGGGACAUCCGGCUACCCCGUGCUAAACAACACCUCCCAUCCCGGUGCUUCGUCCCACGAAGACACUCCACUCCGGGACCUCUCCCUGUCUCAUGUACCCGCCACAUGUAUCUCUCAUGGAGAACGCCCAGGUAGCAUUCCCUGGCAAGACUUGUCCCAAGACUCGUCGUAGAUCCUGCUCGGUCGACUCAACCCUCACCACACACCCAAGACACACGCCAAGAUCUCCCCAAAUCUAUUACCAUCUCAUUAUCCAGUUAUUGGCACCUCGUGCCUUAUCCACUCACAUCCAAUCUCCCACAUUGCAUCACAUCACAGAUAUAAUGCGUAGUAGAAGCAGUAGCAAGUAGUACGCAAGCAUCUAACCUAGCAGCGGGUGUGCAAGGGUUAUAGGUUGCAACAAGGCAAUGGCUCACAAGCAUUUCUACCAUGCAACCUAUCACAGUUCAUUUGCAUAAAAGUAAAGCACUAGCAUCUACAUUAUUGCAUGUCUAAUAGGAUUCUACGAGGUUGGGUGAGACGUGGCACCUGUUGAAUGACAUUUCCAAGAUCCUCAGUUCACUUGUAGUUGUACUGAUCCAAGAUCCUCCUUUCCGCAUGUCUUUUCUUCCACGGGUCCCGAUCCGAUCAACGCUAACCGAAGCAACUAACUCGUAAACGACAAUCAAGGCAAAACAAUCAAACCACUAGACCUCGAAAGACUGCGAAAAGAGAUGACAGAACACUGAGGAACAACUACACUAAAAGAGCAACGAAAGGAAAAUGGCUUAGCCCUCUCGGCGGAUGUCCGAUCUCUGGGCUAAAAGAAACGGGAAUAGUUGUUCACUAAGUACAAGCUGGAGUCAGCCUAGCCGGUACUUCCUGGGUUGACUAAGUCAACCUGUACGACUUUAAUAAAUGGCUUAGACCCUAACUUAUCAUAAGCAAACACCAUAGCUAGUGGCCCUUCGAUCCAAGCGUCACGGAGAUCGACGGGGAUGAAAAGGCUACGAGCACGAGAAGUUUCGGUCUCUCUUAACCCAUACACCAUGGUAGUUGGCGAGAGCCAAGAGAGGGUGGAACAAAGAGAGAAGAAAGGGAAAGUGGUCUACUCCUUCCAAUCCACUCGCCAUGGUAAGAGACGGGGUAUCUGAAAGAGUGACACACAAGAACACGAGUGCUCAAACUACUUGUAGUGUACCACAACCUAGGUGCACUAAAUGCACUAAGACAUCACCAGGGUUCUUAGCGGUGCGGCUGUCACCAAGAGAACCAAAGAAAUGCUACGGUCGAAUAGGUACAAGCAUACAAGAGUUUAAACACGAAGAACCAAAAAGACAAGAAAAGACACGGGCUUCACUUUCCAUUGAUCCACUUGCCAUAGCAACGGCGGAAAUCACGAAAUUGGAACAAAACAUCAAACAAGCAAAAAGGAGCUCAAUCCACAUCUUACUGGAUCGACGGGGAUUGAGAACAAGAGAGAAGGAGAAGAAUGGAGUCCAUGUUCUUUCGACCCAACUCAUCAUGGAACGAACGACGGUUGGAUAAAAAGUGAUACGACCCCACGAUCUACUCCAACUCAUAAUGCUUCACGACCUAGGUACUUCUGACUCGGCACAAGGUCAUUCCUAUAGUUCUAGGCGAUGCGGCUGUCAUCGCGGGAACUAGGGGAAAUGCCCAGGUCUAGGUGGCACAAGCAUAUGAGACAGAUAAGAUAAACAUGCGAGAAGCAAGGUAAAGCCCGAUGACCAUGGCGAGGCGACUCGCGGCCAUGAGCUCCACUUAACGAGUUGGUCUCCGACAAUUCCACGAAGGUUGUCCCCUAAUUCAUAUCCCACUCGACUAGGCCACCUAGGUAUCGAGUGUGCGGGUAAGAACUGCGUCGAUAACGACAUCAAGCCCAUGGUGACCACGUCUGAGGGACGAGAACAAGAGCUAUCGACCGUGGCACGACAAAGCCAACUAAACACGAGGAAACGAGUGAUGCUCGACAUCGCGAUCACGGCGGGACGUACCCACGAUCGAAAUGAUCAAACGUACCACGAUUUCCCCGACCGGCUCGAAGGCACGGUCCACAGACGACAGCACACACACACACACAUUCAAGAACCAAUGCACAAAGAACCAUAUUGCCAUGACUAACACAAAGACAAAAUGGAGUAGCACAUUUCCAUAGCGACCAACAGAGAUAGAUAGGGAGAUAGAUAAAUAGACCGGCACGAAGGAACGGCACAAGCAUGGAUAUAGAUAAAGAUAGAUCGUGUAUUAAACAAGAUAGGAGACGUAUGAACACGUACAACUGAUAGAUAACAAAAUGAUGUAUGAACAGAUAUGAAUUAGCAUGGAGUUCCGUCCACGUCAACUAGGGUUUAGGGGGUUUCAACCUUGCCGAUCGCGAGGAAGGUAGCGGAGGCCUGCUGCUGUACAGAUGGUGACCGAGGCGAUGGGGAUGAUCACAGCGGCCGACGUUAUCAUGGUCGGCCAGGGUAGAGCUGGUCACGGCAAUGGUGCUCCCAAGUCACAAUCGGUGAAAAGGGGACACAGGGCUCCGACGAGUGGCACAAACUGGCUGCAGCAUCCCUGCACAGUGAGGUUCACGGCACGAAGGCCGGUCUCAGCGAGGCGAACGCAAGAAGGGGAAAACUUCGGUCUUGGCGAGGCUCACCGGUGCUGACGGCGCCACGGGCUUAGCGAGAUCGACGUGGCAAGGUCGUGGUUGUCACUACCGGUGCGGCGUCCGCGCGCGACGUCGGGGUUCGGGGCAGAGGUGCUUGACGCGGUGGCGAACGCGCGCUCCCGGCCACGGCGGAGUUCGUGCGUGUCGAGACGGGCGCUCGGGCUUGGCACAGUCGACCUCGCGACGAGGUGAUCG